AACUCUUCGUCUCUCAUCUUUGUUUCUGGAAGUGUCGUAUCUUCGUGUUGCUGUCCUCAUCAAUCGCUUUGUCGAAAAAAGUCGAUUUACUGAAGCAUGAUUGAAGAUAGAUCGAUUAAUAACUCCAUCCGAAUUUGGCUUCCAGGUUUGGAUAAGCAAGACCAUAAACCGGAUAGAUAGAUCCUGUCUCUUGUUUACUCAUGAAAUAGAAACAUCGUAGAAGCUCUGUUUUGAAUCCAGCUUGGGAUUGUUAUUGUUCAGGAGUCGCUGGAUCUGAGAAAUUUAUUCAGGUCAAGUAGACAGUGAUGGGUUUCUUCCCGACAAAGCUUUGGAGUUGAAUGAUGAAGCUGGAUAUCGGGUUAUGGUACGUCAUGCGGUGGUUUGUGUUGUGAAUGUUUCUUGCAU
Long non-coding RNA from Raphanus sativus (radish), 405 nucleotides. RefSeq lists it as uncharacterized. The record is from RefSeq and is a predicted model, not a curated record. NCBI's taxonomy places the organism in Eukaryota, Viridiplantae, Streptophyta, Magnoliopsida, Brassicales, Brassicaceae. The transcript is spliced from 3 exons.